GAAAAAAAAAAAUUAAUAAAAUAAAAUAGGAUAAUAAAAAAAUUUUUAAUAAAAAUAUUAUGGGGGUUAAAGUAUUUUUAAAGAAAAAAUUUAAUAAUUUAUAGUAAAUUAGUAUUGUAAAAGAAUUUUGAAAUAUUUGAAAAUUGAAUUAAGAAAAAGUAAUUUUAAAUUAAUGUAUCUUGUGUAUCAGAGUUUAUUAAAAAAGAUUUUUAGGUAAAAAUUUCUCGAAUUUAAAAGAGUUAAUUAAUUAUUAAAGUUAAUGUUGAAUAAUUAUUUUAAAUAAUUAAUUGGAAAUGAAAUGUUAAUCGUUUUUAAAUAUAUCUAGUUUUUUUAGAAAAAAAUUUAAUUUAAAAUAUUAUUUUAAAAAAUUUUAUUUAAAUAAAAUUUUUUAAAAUAAUAUUUAAUAUUUUAAGGGAUAAGCUUUAAAAUAAAUUUUUAUAAUAAUUUUUAAAUAAUAAUUAAAAUUUUAGGAUUUAUAUUGUCAAUUAAUUAUAAUUUUUUAUAAAUAAUUUAAUAAAAAAUAAAAUUUAAUAANNNNNNNNNNNNNNNNNNNNNNNNAAAUAAAAUUUAAUAAUAAAUUUAAUUUUUUAUAAAAAAAUAAUUUUUAAUUAAAUAAAAUUAGUUAUAAUGAUAAAAUUAGUAUAAAAUUUAUAUAAAAAAAUAAAAAAUAUUUAAAUUUAUAUAAAGGAAUUUGGCAAAAACUUAUAUUCACUUGUUUAUCAAAAACAUGUCUUUUUGAAAAUAAUAUAAAGUCUAAUCUGCCCACUGAUUUAAUAUUAAAGGGCUGCAGUAUUUUGACUGUACAAAGGUAGCAUAAUCAUUUGUCUCUUAAUUGGUGACUUGUAUGAAAGAUUGGAUGAAAUAUAAACUGUCUCUAUAUAAUUAUUAAAAUUUAAUUUUUUAGUUAAAAAGCUAAAAUAAAUUUAAAAGACGAGAAGACCCUAUAGAGUUUUAUAAUUUUAUUAAUAUUAAAAAAAUAUAAAUAUUAAGUUUAAUAUUAAUAAAAUUAUUUUAUUGGGGUGAUAGAAAAAUUAAAAUAACUUUUUUUAAAAAUAAACAUUAAUAUAUGAUUAAAUGAUCCAUUAAUAAUGAUUAAAAGAAAAAAUUACCUUAGGGAUAACAGCGUAAUUUUUUUUUUUAGGUCAAAUAAGAAAAAAAGUUUGCGACCUCGAUGUUGGAUUAAGAUAAAAUUUAAAUGCAAAAGUUUAAAAUUUUUGAUCUGUUCGAUCAUUAAAAUCUUACAUGAUCUGAGUUCAAACCGGUGUAAGCCAGGUUGGUUUCUAUCUUUAGAUAAUAAUAAUAUUUUAGUACGAAAGGAUCAAAUAUUAGAAAUAAUUUUAAAUUAAAUGAAUAUUAAUAAUAAAAAUUAUAACUAUUUUGGCAGAAAAAAUGUAAU
RNAcentral lists this ribosomal RNA (1396 nucleotides) under Pharmacophagus antenor. Its description in RNAcentral is "16S ribosomal RNA". Lineage: Eukaryota; Metazoa; Arthropoda; Insecta; Lepidoptera; Papilionidae. The record is from RNAcentral.